AUCCUGGCUCAGGAUGAACGCUAGCGGCAGGCCUAAUACAUGCAAGGCGAAGGGGCAGCAAUGUCACUGUCGUACGGGUGCGUAACGCGUAUGCAACCUACCUAUCACAGGGGAAUAGCCUUUGGAAACAGGGAUUAAUACCGCAUAAAGCAGGGACACCGCAUGGUGAUAUUGCUAAAGAUUUAUCGGUGAUAGAUGGGCAUGCGUCUGAUUAGUUAGUUGGCAGGGUAACGGCCUACCAAGACGAUGAUCAGUAGGGGGCGUCAGAGCGUGGUCCCCCACACUGGCACUGAGAUACGGGCCAGACUCCUACGGGAGGCAGCAGUAGGGAAUAUUGGGCAAUGGAUGCAAGUCUGACCCAGCCAUGCCGCGUGCAGGAAGAAGGUCCUCUGGAUUGUAAACUGCUUUUAUCGGGGAGGAAUAGUUUUCUUGCGAGGGAAUGUGACGGUACCCGAUGAAUAAGCCACGGCUAACUACGUG
RNAcentral lists this ribosomal RNA (480 nucleotides) under uncultured bacterium. RNAcentral describes it as "bacterial SSU rRNA". It matches the Rfam family "Bacterial small subunit ribosomal RNA", at positions 16 to 507 of the family's 1533-position model. The record is from RNAcentral.